This 507-nucleotide ribosomal RNA is filed under the name uncultured bacterium. RNAcentral's name for it is "bacterial SSU rRNA". It matches the Rfam family "Archaeal small subunit ribosomal RNA", at positions 726 to 1230 of the family's 1478-position model. The record is from RNAcentral.
AGUAAAUAGAUACCCAGGUAGUCUCAGCUGUAAACGAUGCGCGUUAGGUGUAUCGGUGACCACGAGUCACCGAGGUGCCGAAGGGAAACCGUGAAACGUGCCGCCUGGGAAGUACGGUCGCAAGGCUGAAACUUAAAGGAAUUGGCGGGGGGAGCACCACAACAGGUGGAGCCUGCGGUUUAAUCGGACUCAACGCCGGGAAGCUCACCGGAUAAGACAGCUGAAUGAUAGCCGGGUUGAAGACUCUGCUUGACUAGCUGAGAGGAGGUGCAUGGCCGUCGUCAGUUCGUACUGUGAAGCAUCCUGUUAAGUCAGGCAACGAGCGAGACCCACGCCAACAGUUGCCAGCAUGUCCUCCGGGAUGGUGGGGACACUGUUGGACCGCCUCUGCUAAAGAGGAGGAAGGAAUGGGCAACGGUAGGUCAGCAUGCCCCGAAUUAUCCGGGCUACACGCGGGCUACAAUGGUCAGGACAAUGGGUAUCAACACCGAAAGGUGAGGGCAAUCU